CAUGCAGUCGAACGAGAACGGAUUAUAGCUUGCUAUAAUUGUCAGCUAAGUGGCGCACGGGUGAGUAAUAUAUAGGUAACGUGCCCCAAAGAAGAGGAUAACAGAUGGAAACGUCUGCUAAGACUCUAUAUGCCUUUAUGACAAAAGUCAGCAAGGGAAAUAUUUAUAGCUUUGGGAUCGGCCUGUACAGUAUCAGUUAGUUGGUGAGGUAAUGGCUCACCAAGACAAUGACGCUUAACUGGUUUGAGAGGAUGAUCAGUCACACUGGAACUGAGACACGGUCCAGACUCCUACGGGAGGCAGCAGUGGGGAAUAUUGCACAAUGGACGAAAGUCUGAUGCAGCAACGCCGCGUGGAGGAUGACACAUUUCGGUGCGUAAACUCCUUUUAUAUGGGAAGAUAAUGACGGUACCAUAUGAAUAAGCACCGGCUAACUCCGUGCCAGCAGCCGCGGUAAUACGGAGGGUGCAAGCGUUACUCGGAAUCACUGGGCGUAAAGAGCGUGUAGGCGGAUAGGUAAGUCAGAAGUGAAAUCCAAUAGCUCAACUAUUGAACUGCUUUUGAAACUGCUUAUCUAGAAUAUGGGAGAGGUAGAUGGAAUUUCUGGUGUAGGGGUAAAAUCCGUAGAGAUCAGAAGGAAUACCGAUUGCGAAGGCGAUCUACUGGAACAUUAUUGACGCUGAGACGCGAAAGCGUGGGGAGCAAGCAGGAUUAGAUACCCUGGUAGUCCACGCCCUAAACGAUGUACACUAGUUGUUGUGAGGCUCGACCUUGCAGUAAUGCAGUUAACACAUUAAGUGUACCGCCUGGGGAGUACGGUCGCAAGAUUAAAACUCAAAGGAAUAGACGGGGACCCGCACAAGCGGUGGAGCAUGUGGUUUAAUUCGACGAUACACGAAGAACCUUACCUGGACUUGACAUAGUAAGAACUUUCUAGAGAUAGAUUGGUGUCUGCUUUGCAGAAACUU
RNAcentral lists this ribosomal RNA (968 nucleotides) under uncultured bacterium. Its description in RNAcentral is "bacterial SSU rRNA". It matches the Rfam family "Bacterial small subunit ribosomal RNA", at positions 54 to 1029 of the family's 1533-position model. The record is from RNAcentral.